Molecule: non-coding RNA, 63 nt
Organism: Rattus norvegicus (Norway rat)
Lineage: Eukaryota; Metazoa; Chordata; Mammalia; Rodentia; Muridae
Source: Rfam
GGGGAUUUAGCUCAGCGGUAGAGCACUUGCCUAGCAAGCGCAAGGCCCUGGGUUCAGUCCCCA